GCAAGUCGAACGGGCUGGAUACUGACGUAAGUUGGUAACCAGUUAGUGGCGAACGGGUGAGUAAAAGGUAGGGACCUAUCCUGAGGACAGAGAUAGCUACUGGAAACGGUAGGUAAACUCUGAUAAGCCCGAGAGGGGAAAGUGAAAGACAGCCUUAGGAGGGACUUACUAUCCAUCAGGUAGUUGGUUAGGUAAAGGCUGACCAAGCCUAUGACGGAUAACCGGUGUGAGAGCAUGUACGGUCACAAGGGCACUGAGACACGGGCCCUACUCCUACGGGAGGCAGCAGUGAGGAAUCUUGGACAAUGGGCGAAAGCCUGAUCCAGCGACGCCGCGUGAAGGAAGAAGUCCUUCGGGAUGUAAACUUCUGAAUUAGCCGAAUAAGAGGGUAGCGGAUACGCUACAGAAGAAGGUAGGCUAAGAAAAGUCCCGGCUAACUACGUGCCAGCAGCCGCGGUAAGACGUAGGGGGCGAGCGUUGCCCGGAAUUACUGGGUGUAAAGGGGGCGUAGGCGGACUAAGAAGUCAUCUGUGAAAACCUAUUGCUCAACGAUAGGCUUGCGGAUGAAACUGGUAGUCUUGAGUGCACCAGAGGUAGACGGAAUUACCUGAGUAGGGGUGAAAUCCGCAGAUACAGGUAAGAAGGCCGGUGGAGAAGUCGGUCUACUGGGGUGUAACAGACGCUGAGGCCCGAAAGCUAGGGGAGCGAACCGGAUUAGAUACCCGGGUAGUCCUAGCCGUAAACGAUGCUCACUAGGUGUAGGGAGUAAUAAGCUCUCUGUGCUGAAGCGAACGCGAUAAGUGAGCCACCUGGGGAGUAC
This 820-nucleotide ribosomal RNA is filed under the name uncultured bacterium. RNAcentral's name for it is "bacterial SSU rRNA". It matches the Rfam family "Bacterial small subunit ribosomal RNA", at positions 57 to 883 of the family's 1533-position model. RNAcentral also lists the same sequence under 1 other name. The record is from RNAcentral.